UACGUAGGGGGCAAGCGUUGUCCGGAAUCAUUGGGCGUAAAGCGCGUGUAGGCGGUCCGGUAAGUCCGCUGUGAAAGUCGGGGGCUUAACCCUCGGAUGCCGGUGGAUACUGUCGGGCUUGAGUACGGAAGAGGCGAGUGGAAUUCCUGGUGUAGCGGUGGAAUGCGCAGAUAUCAGGAGGAACACCAAUAGCGAAGGCAGCUCGCUGGGACGGUACUGACGCUAAGGCGCGAAAGCGUGGGGAGCAAACAGG
RNAcentral lists this ribosomal RNA (253 nucleotides) under uncultured bacterium. RNAcentral describes it as "partial 16S ribosomal RNA". It matches the Rfam family "Bacterial small subunit ribosomal RNA", at positions 524 to 776 of the family's 1533-position model. The record is from RNAcentral.